This 468-nucleotide ribosomal RNA is filed under the name uncultured bacterium. RNAcentral describes it as "partial 16S ribosomal RNA". It matches the Rfam family "Bacterial small subunit ribosomal RNA", at positions 28 to 507 of the family's 1533-position model. The record is from RNAcentral.
GACGAACGCUGGCGGCGUGCUUAACACAUGCAAGUCGAACGGAAAGGCCCUGCUUUUGUUGGGUGCUCGAGUGGCGAACGGGUGAGUAACACUUGAGUAACCUGCCCGUUACUUUGGGAUAACUUCAGGAAACUGGGGCUAAUACCGGAUAGGAGCUCCUGCUGCAUGGUGGGGGUUGGAAAGUUUGGGCGGUUGGGGAUGGACGCGCGGCUUAUCAGCUUGUUGGUUGGGUAGUGGCUUGCCAAGGCUUUGACGGGUAGCCGGCCUGAGAGGGUGACCGGCCACAUUGGGACUGAGAUACGGCCGAGACUCCUACGGGAGGCAGCAGUGGGGAAUAUUGCACAAUGGGCGGAAGCCUGAUGCAGCAACGCCGCGUGCGGGAUGACGGCCUUCGGGUUGUAAACCGCUUUCGCCUGUGACGAAGCGUGAGUGACGGUAAUGGGUAAAGAAGCACCGGCUAACUACGUG